GAAUCUUCCACAAUGGGCGAAAGCCUGAUGGAGCAACGCCGCGUGAGUGAAGAAGGUUUUCGGAUAGUAAAACUCUGUUGUAAGGGAAGAACAAGUACAGUAGUAACCGGCUGUACCUUGACGGUACCUUAUUAGAAAGCCACGGCUAAAUACGUGCCAGCAUCCGCGGUAAUCCGGAGGUGGCAGUCGUUGUCCGGAAUUAUUGGGCGUAAAGCCGGCGCAGGCGGUCCUUUAAGUCGUAUGGCAAAGCCCACGGCUCAACCGUGGAGGGCCAUUGGAAACUGGGGGACUUGAGUGCAGAAGAGGAAAGUGGAAUUCCAAGUGUAGCGGUGAAAUGCGUAGAGAUUUGGAGGAACACCAGUGGCGAAGGCGACUUUCUGGUCUGUAACUGACGCUGAGGCGCGAAAGCGUGGGGAGCAAACAG
RNAcentral lists this ribosomal RNA (424 nucleotides) under uncultured bacterium. Its description in RNAcentral is "partial 16S ribosomal RNA". It matches the Rfam family "Bacterial small subunit ribosomal RNA", at positions 359 to 775 of the family's 1533-position model. The record is from RNAcentral.